Molecule: ribosomal RNA, 405 nt
Filed under: uncultured bacterium
Lineage: Bacteria
Description: bacterial SSU rRNA
Rfam family: Bacterial small subunit ribosomal RNA
Source: RNAcentral
UCGGGAAUAUUGCGCAAUGGAGGAAACUCUGACGCAGUGACGCCGCGUAUAGGAAGAAGGUUUUCGGAUUGUAAACUAUUGUCCACAGGGAAGAGAAAGGACUGUACCUGUGAAGAAAGCUCCGGCUAACUACGUGCCAGCAGCCGCGGUAAUACGUAGGGAGCAAGCGUUAUCCGGAAUUAUUGGGUGUAAAGGGUGCGUAGACGGGAAUCUAAGUUAGUUGUGAAAUCCCUCGGCUCAACUGAGGAACUGCAACUAAAACUGGAUUUCUUGAGUGCAGGAGAGGAAAGUGGAAUUCCUAGUGUAGCGGUGAAAUGCGUAGAUAUUAGGAGGAACACCAGUGGCGAAGGCGACUUUCUGGACUGUAACUGACGUUGAGGCACGAAAGUGUGGGGAGCAAACAGG